GUGGGGAAUCUUGCGCAAUGGGCGAAAGCCUGACGCAGCCAUGCCGCGUGAAUGAUGAAGGUCUUAGGAUUGUAAAAUUCUUUCACCGGGGACGAUAAUGACGGUACCCGGAGAAGAAGCUCCGGCUAACUUCGUGCCAGCAGCCGCGGUAAUACGAAGGGGGCUAGCGUUGCUCGGAAUUACUGGGCGUAAAGGGCGCGUAGGCGGACAGCUUAGUCAGAGGUGAAAGCCCAGGGCUCAACCUUGGAAUUGCCUUUGAUACUGGCUGUCUUGAGUUUGGGAGAGGUGAGUGGAACUCCGAGUGUAGAGGUGAAAUUCGUAGAUAUUCGGAAGAACACCAGUGGCGAGGGCGACUCACUGGCCCAAUACUGACGCUGAGGCGCGAAAGCGUGGGGAGCAAACAGGAUUAGAAACCCGUGUAGUCC
RNAcentral lists this ribosomal RNA (425 nucleotides) under uncultured bacterium. Its description in RNAcentral is "partial 16S ribosomal RNA". It matches the Rfam family "Bacterial small subunit ribosomal RNA", at positions 354 to 796 of the family's 1533-position model. The record is from RNAcentral.